GACGAACGCUGGCGGCGUGCUUAACACAUGCAAGUCGAACGAAGAGCGAUGGAAGCUUGCCUCUAUCAAUCUUAGUGGCGAACGGGUGAGUAACGCGUAAUCAACCUGCCCUUCAGAGGGGGACAACAGUUGGAAACGACUGCUAAUACCGCAUACGAUCCAAUCUCGGCAUCGGGACUGGAUGAAAGGUGGCCUCUAUUUAUAAGCUAUCACUGAAGGAGGGGAUUGCGUCUGAUUAGCUAGUUGGAGGGGUAACGGCCCACCAAGGCGAUGAUCAGUAGCCGGUCUGAGAGGAUGAACGGCCACAUUGGGACUGAGACACGGCCCAGACUCCUACGGGAGGCAGCAGUGGGGAAUCUUCCGCAAUGGACGAAAGUCUGACGGAGCAACGCCGCGUGAGUGAUGACGGCCUUCGGGUUGUAAAGCUCUGUUAAUCGGGACGAAUGGUUCUUGUGCGAAUAGUGCGAGGAUUUGACGGUACCGGAAUAGAAAGCCACGGCUAACUACGUG
This 510-nucleotide ribosomal RNA is filed under the name uncultured bacterium. RNAcentral describes it as "partial 16S ribosomal RNA". It matches the Rfam family "Bacterial small subunit ribosomal RNA", at positions 28 to 507 of the family's 1533-position model. The record is from RNAcentral.